Gavialis gangeticus (Gharial) is the source of this 190-nucleotide long non-coding RNA. RefSeq lists it as uncharacterized. NCBI's taxonomy places the organism in Eukaryota, Metazoa, Chordata, Crocodylia, Gavialidae. The record is from RefSeq and is a predicted model, not a curated record. The transcript is spliced from 3 exons.
CCUGUCUCCCUGGCAUGCAGGAUGCAAGGGGGGGAGGUGUUUGGUGAUAAUGAGAACCACCAGCAUGGUUCAUUAGUUCAUGAGAUGAGGUGAAGAGCCCUGUGCCUAUGCUGCUUGAGUAACUGGGCCCCAGCUCCUGCACUGUACAGGCAACCUUGACAGAUGAACUAGGGACCUGGGCUUGAGCCUG